Long non-coding RNA from Pan troglodytes (chimpanzee), 273 nucleotides. RefSeq lists it as uncharacterized. The record is from RefSeq and is a predicted model, not a curated record. The transcript has 2 exons. Lineage: Eukaryota; Metazoa; Chordata; Mammalia; Primates; Hominidae.
GAGGUUACAAGAAUUCUGACACUCAUCACAGUGGAUCCAAUAUCUGGUCCCUUGGGUUUCAUACAUGUUAGAAGUAUCUUCUCAGGAGGGAAAAGUCAAUGCCAGUCAUAUCCUUUCUAGUUGUUUGUUUUCUGGUCUUCCUGAAAACCAAGAUGCUGUGCGAAAAACCCUGGAUUGGGAACCAGAAGAGUUGUGUGCUCAUCCUGAUCCUCCCCAGGAGUGAUACUAAACUUGUUUAACAACAGGUGUGGCACAGGUGCCAACCAUUCAGAA